RNAcentral lists this ribosomal RNA (452 nucleotides) under uncultured bacterium. RNAcentral's name for it is "bacterial SSU rRNA". It matches the Rfam family "Bacterial small subunit ribosomal RNA", at positions 32 to 464 of the family's 1533-position model. The record is from RNAcentral.
AAUCAACGCUGGCGGCGUGCCUCAGACAUGCAAGUCGAACGCGAAAGUUCCCUUCGGGGGCGAGUAGAGUGGCGCACGGGUGAGUAACACGUAGGUAAUCUACCUUUGGGUGGGGAAUAACAGCCGGAAACGGCUGCUAAUACCGCAUAAUGCAGCGGCUCGACAUCGAGACAGUUGUUAAAGCGGGGGAUCGCAAGACCUCGCGCCUAAAGAGGAGCCUGCGGCGGAUUAGCUUGUUGGUGAGGUAAUGGCUCACCAAGGCAUCGAUCCGUAGCCGGCCUGAGAGGGCGGUCGGCCACACUGACACUGACAUACGGGUCAGACUCCUACGGGAGGCAGCAGUCGGGAAUUUUGGGCAAUGGGCGCAAGCCUGACCCAGCAACGCCGCGUGAAGGAUGAAAUCCCUCGGGAUGUAAACUUCGCAAGAACAGGAAGAAUAAGUGGGGGACGAA